This 253-nucleotide ribosomal RNA is filed under the name uncultured bacterium. Its description in RNAcentral is "partial 16S ribosomal RNA". It matches the Rfam family "Bacterial small subunit ribosomal RNA", at positions 524 to 776 of the family's 1533-position model. The record is from RNAcentral.
UACGAACCGUACAAACGUUAUUCGGAAUCUCUGGGCUUAAAGGGUGCGUAGGCGGCCAUGUAAGUGAGGUGUGAAAUCCCUCGGCUCAACCGAGGAACUGCGCUUCAUACUGCAUGGCUUGAGGGAGACAGGGGUAAGCGGAACUGAUGGUGGAGCGGUGAAAUUCGUAGAUAUUAGGAAGAACACCGGUGGCGAAGGCGGCCCACUGGUCCGGUACUGACGCUGAGGUGCGAAAGCGUGGGGAGCAAACAGG